This 35-nucleotide small nuclear RNA is filed under the name Cervus elaphus hippelaphus. The record is from RNAcentral. Lineage: Eukaryota; Metazoa; Chordata; Mammalia; Artiodactyla; Cervidae.
AUUGCUUCUUGGCCUUUUGGCUAAGAUCAAGUGUA